GCGCCGACCUCCAACCCUUUGUCGAUAUUAACUGUUGCCUCGGGGGGCGACCCGGCCGUCCGCGCCCGGGAGUCCCCCAGAGGACCAAUCAACCCUGCAUCUUUGCGUCGAGUAUUGAAUACAAAUCAAUCAAAACUUUUAACAACGGAUCUCUUGGUUCUGGCAUCGAUGAAGAACGCAGCGAAAUGCGAUAAGUAAUGUGAAUUGCAGAAUUCAGUGAAUCAUCGAAUCUUUGAACGCACAUUGCGCCCUUUGGCAUUCCGAAGGGCAUGCCCGUUCGAGCGUCAUUACACCAAUCAAGCCUGGCUUGGUAUUGGGCGUCGGGAGACCCCGCGCCCCCAAUUCUCCGGCUGGACGGUUCGAAUCUCAGCGUUGUGGUUAUUCAAUUCGCUGGCGAGGACGACCGGACGCGCCGUUAAACCUCUAUCACAGGUUGACCUCGGAUCAGGUAGGGAUACCCGCUGAACUUAAGCAUAUCAAUAAGCGGAGGAA
RNAcentral lists this ribosomal RNA (492 nucleotides) under uncultured Capnobotryella. RNAcentral describes it as "eukaryotic LSU rRNA". The stretch from base 134 to 287 matches the Rfam family "5.8S ribosomal RNA". The record is from RNAcentral. Lineage: Eukaryota; Fungi; Ascomycota.